GAACCAGUGUGCUGGCCAUGUCCCAACAGAUAAAAAUAGAUGACCCUACCUUGGAAACGACAUGUUUAUUUAAAUUUGACCAAAAGGUCUGAAGCUACACUGGGGAGAGCAGCUGGAGAAAGAUGGAGAGACAAGCAGCCUGAGUGGAUGUAAGAGGCUGGAAGCAGAAAAGAACGGGAAAUGAAGAGACCAGAUCCCUGUUGUGCUGGAUGCUGUGAAAACAUGAAAUCCUCCUUCUAAAGGAAAGAAAGGGAAGAAGGAAUCUGUUCCAAAGGGAACAGGUUGCCCAGCGACGUUGUGGAGUCUCCAUCCUUGGAGAUGAUAGUCAAAAUCUGUCUAGACACGGCACUGGGUGGACCUGCUCAAGGUGACCCUGCUUGAGCAGAGGGUCUGGACCGGAUGAUCUCUAAAGGUCCCUCCCAAUCUCAGCUGUUCUGUGAUUCUAUGAAAUAAAGAGGACAUGCAAGCAA
Molecule: long non-coding RNA, 470 nt
Organism: Rhea pennata
Lineage: Eukaryota; Metazoa; Chordata; Aves; Rheiformes; Rheidae
Exons: 3
Source: RefSeq, a predicted model, not a curated record